GGUUCCGGUGGGGGCCGGUUCCGGGUUCGGGCCGGCUCGGGGUCGGCCUGGCUCUUGGUCAGGCCGGUUCCGGGUUCGGGCCGGCUCGGGGUCG
RNAcentral lists this transfer RNA (94 nucleotides) under Actinocatenispora comari. Its description in RNAcentral is "tRNA-Pro". Lineage: Bacteria; Bacillati; Actinomycetota; Actinomycetes; Micromonosporales; Micromonosporaceae. The record is from RNAcentral.